This 486-nucleotide ribosomal RNA is filed under the name uncultured bacterium. Its description in RNAcentral is "bacterial SSU rRNA". It matches the Rfam family "Bacterial small subunit ribosomal RNA", at positions 28 to 507 of the family's 1533-position model. The record is from RNAcentral. RNAcentral also lists the same sequence under 1 other name.
GAUGAACGCUAGCGGGAGGCUUAACACAUGCAAGUCGAGGGGCAUCACGAGGUAGCAAUACUUUGGUGGCGACCGGCGCACGGGUGAGUAACACGUAUGCAACCUUCCCUGUACAGGGGGAUAACCCGGAGAAAUUCGGACUAAUACCCCAUGAUGAUAUUUAUGGGCAUCCAUUGAUAUUUAAAGCUCUGGCGGUACAGGAUGGGCAUGCGCGACAUUAGCUAGUUGGUAAGGUAACGGCUUACCAAGGCUACGAUGUUUAGGGGACCUGAGAGGGUUGUCCCCCACACUGGUACUGAGACACGGACCAGACUCCUACGGGAGGCAGCAGUGAGGAAUAUUGGUCAAUGGGCGCAAGCCUGAACCAGCCAUCCCGCGUGAAGGAAGAAUGCGCUACGCGUUGUAAACUUCUUUUCCAGGGGGAGAAUAAUCCUGUCGUGACAGGACUUGACGGUACUCUGGGAAUAAGCAUCGGCUAACUCCGUG